This 315-nucleotide ribosomal RNA is filed under the name uncultured bacterium. RNAcentral's name for it is "bacterial SSU rRNA". It matches the Rfam family "Bacterial small subunit ribosomal RNA", at positions 28 to 334 of the family's 1533-position model. The record is from RNAcentral.
GAUGAACGCUGGCGGCGUGGCUUAACACAUGCAAGUCGAACGGACUUUACAUGAAGCCUAGCGAAUGUAAAGUUAGUGGCGGACGGGUGAGUAACGCGUGGGUAACCUGCCUCGUACAGGGGGAUAACACUUGGAAAUAGGUGCUAAUACCGCAUAAGCGCACAGCUUCGCAUGAAGCAGUGUGAAAAAACUCCGGUGGUACGAGAUGGACCCGCGUCUGAUUAGCUAGUUGGUGAGGUAACGGCCCACCAAGGCGACGAUCAGUAGCCGGCCUGAGAGGGUGAACGGCCACAUUGGGACUGAGACACGGCCCAA